RNAcentral lists this ribosomal RNA (253 nucleotides) under uncultured bacterium. RNAcentral describes it as "partial 16S ribosomal RNA". It matches the Rfam family "Bacterial small subunit ribosomal RNA", at positions 524 to 776 of the family's 1533-position model. The record is from RNAcentral.
UACGAAGGGUGCAAGCGUUACUCGGAAUUACUGGGCGUAAAGCGUGCGUAGGCGGUUUGUUAAGUCCGUUGUGAAAGCCCUGGGCUCAACCUGGGAAUUGCAGUGGAUACUGGCGAGCUAGAGUGCGGUAGAGGAUGGUGGAAUUCCCGGUGUAGCGGUGAAAUGCGUAGAGAUCGGGAGGAACACCAGUGGCGAAGGCGACUUCCUGGCCUGUUCUUGACGCUGAGGCGCGAAAGCUAGGGGAGCAAACGGG